Molecule: ribosomal RNA, 248 nt
Filed under: uncultured bacterium
Lineage: Bacteria
Description: partial 16S ribosomal RNA
Rfam family: Bacterial small subunit ribosomal RNA
Source: RNAcentral
AUACGAAGGGGGCAAGCGUUAUUCGGAUUUAUUGGGCGUAAAGGGCGCGUAGGCGGCUUUGGAAGUCCGGUGUGAAAACGCUACCGCUCAACGGAGCGAGUGCGCUGGAAACUCCAAAACUUGAGUCUAGGAGAGGCGGGCAGAAUGCCUGGUGUAGCGGUGGAAUGCUUAGAGAUCAGGCAGAAUACCUGAGGCGAAGGCGGCCCGCUGGCCUAUGACUGACGCUGAGGCGCGAAAGCGUGGGGAUC